RNAcentral lists this small RNA (594 nucleotides) under Pan troglodytes (chimpanzee). RNAcentral describes it as "retained intron". Lineage: Eukaryota; Metazoa; Chordata; Mammalia; Primates; Hominidae. The record is from RNAcentral.
UGUAACAGGAAAAGGGAACAGCUCUGAAAGCAUUGAAGCUAUAAGAGAAUAUGAAGAAGAGUUUUUUCAGAAUUCAAAGCUCCUAAAGACAAGCAUGCUAAAGGCACACCAAGUGACUACAAGAAAUUUAAGCCUUGCAGUAUCAGACUGCUUUUGGAAAAUGGUACGAGAGUCUGUUGAACAACAGGCUGAUAGUUUCAAAGCAACACGUUUUAACCUUGAAACUGAAUGGAAGAAUAACUAUCCUCGCCUGCGGGAACUUGACCGGGUAAUAUUUGGAUACUCGUGAAUUUUGUAUAUAUCUUAAUUUAAUGUUGUGUGCUAACUAAAUUUAUGUUGAGAGAAAAAUCUGAUAAGCUAAAUUACUUUGGUUUUGACUAUAACUACUAAUUUGUAAGAAUACAUCUCUAGGAGCACUUAUCUCUUUCAAUAAUUUAAAUUAUUUGUUAUGUAACAUUAAAAAUGGAUUAUAAGAUGUCAAAACAAGUGUUGAAAGUGUUUUCUGAGAAGGUAAUGAAUGUGCUUUAAAGGUUUUGUAGAAUUCGUGUAUUCCUGUAAUUUAAUGGGAAUUAAACAUUGUUUUUCCUUGAUUUU